Molecule: non-coding RNA, 127 nt
Organism: Neonectria magnoliae
Lineage: Eukaryota; Fungi; Ascomycota; Sordariomycetes; Hypocreales; Nectriaceae
Source: the annotation of a GenBank genome assembly
GGUCGCGUGGCCCAAUGGGUAAGCAUCCUUCUCAAAUACUGGACUGUCUCUAAGUAACUAACACUCGAUUCAGCAAGGCGUCUGACUACGAAUCAGGAGAUCGUGGGUUCGAGCCCCACCGUGACCU